CCUACGGGCGGCAGCAGUGAGGAAUAUUGGUCAAUGGGCGGAAGCCUGAACCAGCCAAGUAGCGUGUAGGAUGACGGCCCUACGGGUUGUAAACUGCUUUUAUACGGGAAUAACGCGCCUUACGUGUAGGGCUUUGCAUGUACCGUAUGAAUAAGGACCGGGUAAUUCCGUGCCAGCAGCCGCGGUAAUACGGAAGGUCCGGGCGUUAUCCGGGUUUAGUGGGUUUAACGGGGGCGUAGGCCGCAUGUCAAGCGUGCUGUGAAAUGUCCGGGCUCAACCCGGGCCUUGCAGCGCGAACUGGCGUGCUAGAGUGCGCGGAAGGCAGGCGGAAUUCGUCGUGUAGCGGUGAAAUGCUUAGAUAUCACGAAGAACUCCGAUUGCGAAGGCAGCCUGCUGGACUGUAACUGACGCUGAUGCUCGAAAGUGUGGGGAUCAAACAGGAUUAGAUACCCGAGUAGUC
This 460-nucleotide ribosomal RNA is filed under the name uncultured bacterium. Its description in RNAcentral is "partial 16S ribosomal RNA". It matches the Rfam family "Bacterial small subunit ribosomal RNA", at positions 338 to 795 of the family's 1533-position model. The record is from RNAcentral.